CCUGGUGCUGCCUAGCAACUUCAUAACAUUCUGGUCCCAGAGAACAGGAGAGCCAACCAAGACUGGAGGAGGUGGGGUGCCUUUUUUCCAUUAACCAGACUGCAGAUUGCAGGGGCAGAAACAACAAAGAGAAAGGAAUGACAAGAGUCAGAGAGGAAGAAGCGGAAACAAUGAAGAGGUGAUGAGGGAGGAAUAAUGAAGGAUGAGAAAGGAAUGAUGCCCAAAGCACUGAAAGAGAUGCUACUCUAUACACCAAGAAAGCAAAUGUAUGAAAAAUAAAGGGCACCCAUCAUCCUCAUCUGCUGUAAAUCAGCCUCUCCCUCAUGGCAUCGCUGGAACUACGCCCUUUGCACCGGCUGAGAAUCUUGGACCCCCUAUUUUUACGUCACACCGCUUUCAGAGCCAGAUUUUCUGAGACAAAAUUUUUUGUGCACUUAACAAAUGUCAGAUGUGCAUCUGACAAUACCUUAUUUGAAUAUACACAAAUACCAGAUUUGCACAUACACAUCUUGACAUUGCGUACAUUAGGUAGGUGCACACAGACAUAUGACACACUUAUCCUUGACUAGGUUGCUUGUGGUGCUGUUAAUGUGCUCUCAGCUAUUUGAGUAUGCUACAAACUAAGGAAGACUACAGUGCAUCUAUAUUAUGCAAACGUCAAAUAGUAAGAAAGUCAUAUACUGUAUUUUUUUCCUCAUUUGCUAUUUGUUAAAUUAGGAAUGUGUGCAUUUGUUGAUUUUAAUGUUACAGGGAAAUGAAAUUACCACCCAAUGUAUAGAGAUAAAGUAAGAUGUUUUCCCUUGUUUGUAUUAUGACUGCAAUGAUUUUGUGUAAUCACUGCAGCAAGUUGUGAAAGAGGCAGAAAAUGAAUAAAAUCUGCCAAGUGCACAGUGAGAAUAAAGUCAUUGCUGUGAAUGUGA
Long non-coding RNA from Mauremys reevesii (Reeves's turtle), 920 nucleotides. RefSeq lists it as uncharacterized. The transcript is spliced from 2 exons. The record is from RefSeq and is a predicted model, not a curated record. Lineage: Eukaryota; Metazoa; Chordata; Testudines; Geoemydidae.